UGGGGAAUUUUGCACAAUGGGGGAAACCCUGAUGCAGCGACGCCGCGUGAUUUAGAAGGCCUUCGGGUUGUAAAAAUCUUUUGUAUGGGAAGAAAAUGACAGUACCAUACGAAUAAGGACCGGCUAAUUACGUGCCAGCAGCCGCGGUAAUACGUAAGGUCCGAGCGUUGUCCGGAAUCAUUGGGCGUAAAGGGUACGUAGGCGGAUAAGCAAGUUAGAAGUUAAAUCCUAUAGCUCAACUAUAGCAAGCUUUUAAAACUGCUCAUCUUGAGGUAUGGAAGGGAAAGUGGAAUUCCUAGUGUAGCGGUGAAAUGCGCAGAUAUUAGGAGGAAUACCGGUGGCGAAGGCGACUUUCUGGCCAUAAACUGACGCUGAGGUACGAAAGCGUGGGUAGCAAACAGGAUUAGAUACCCUGGUA
Molecule: ribosomal RNA, 418 nt
Filed under: uncultured bacterium
Lineage: Bacteria
Description: bacterial SSU rRNA
Rfam family: Bacterial small subunit ribosomal RNA
Source: RNAcentral